Molecule: ribosomal RNA, 335 nt
Filed under: uncultured Planctomycetales bacterium
Lineage: Bacteria; Pseudomonadati; Planctomycetota; Planctomycetia; Planctomycetales
Description: bacterial SSU rRNA
Rfam family: Bacterial small subunit ribosomal RNA
Source: RNAcentral
CAAAGGCCCCGAAGGAAGCCACGGCUAACUCUGUGCCAGCAGCCGCGGUAAUACAGAGGUGGCAAGCGUUGUUCGGUAUUAUUGGGCGUAAGGAGCACGUAGGUGGUUCUGUAAGUCAGAUGUGAAAGCCUUCUGUCCAAAGGAAGAACGGCAUCUGAAACUACAGAUCUUGAGUGUAGGAGGGGAGAGUGGAACUUCUGGUGGAGCGGUGAAAUGCGUAGAUAUCAGAAGGAACGUCGGCGGCGAAAGCGACUCUCUGGCCUAUUACUGACACUGAGUGUGCGAAAGUUAGGGGAGCAAACGGGAUUAGAUACCCCGGUAGUCCUAACUGUAAA